UCAUGCAUCAAUCUGGUUAAGACCUGCAGACGGAGCCAGAAGAAGUUACCAAUGGGACAAUAUAAUCACAGAAAGCAUGAAUGAAACUUCUGUACAUCCCUCUUUAUAGUUUCCAAAGCAGCCAGUACGUACGACUACCUACUCGGCGUAAGGUUCAUCAAUAUUGGUGUUCCUUCACUCUUCAUGCCCUGCAAAUCUGGGCAGCAUCAGUGGAGUCAUGGAGAACCGUCACUGAAUGUUAUGCUGAAACAAGGAACGAGGAGUAAGUACUUCAGACCUUGCUGUAGGGCAGGAGAAAGAACCAGGACCAGCCCAACGCCAAUUCCAGCCCAAUCCGGCCCAACAUUGCAUUAGUCCGCCACUGAAACUACCAAACGACUUUGGUGAUCGUGACGAGGCGUGGGCUUCUUUUACAAACCAAUUACCGGGAGGGUAAAGCUCUGGUAGAUUGAAAAGAAUUAGCCAGGCCUCCGUAGGUAGCUGUUAUAGUUCCAAAGUCUGCCCUUUUCUCGUUUGUACUUGUCCCUCCAACUCCUCCUCCAUCACCGCCGCCGCCGCAGCCGCCCCCGCCGCCGCCGCAGCCGCCCCCGCCCCCGCCGCUUCAUCGCAGUAUGCCCCAUGAGAUGAAGAUCAAAUGGGAUGAAAAAUGCGCAUUGAACUUCAAUUAUUGGAUGGGUGUUCUGACCUAAUAUGAGAAACUGAGACAGCUGAUUCAGAGUGGGACGGCUCUUUUAUGCAGCGGAUUUUGAGUAUACCUAGAGUUCUUCCGCUGUUGUUGUCUCUACCAAAUAAGUAGAAGGUUACAUAAGAUGAUUCAGUGAACUAUGUUUUCUAUCUUGAUUACUGUUUUCAUUUUAGAAGCAUAACCUCUUGAACUUAUUUAUUUCUAAGAUUAUGGCCAAACUGUUGACACUUUCUCAAUGCCCAAGGCAAAUAUGGAGAGAGGAAGACAUGGAGCAGAGGGAGGAGACCUCUCUGGGCUGUGGAAAUUGGUGGCCUCCGCCAAUGGGGAGUAUUAUUGAAGAAAAUAUCUUAACUCUAGGAAAGAAACUUUGAUACCAUGGAAAAUUUGGAGAAGAAAUAUUGUAUUGCCUUGAGAUAAUAAAUUCAGUACAAAUUCCUAAACCUAGAAGUAAUAAUAGGACACUAAACCCACUACACAUAAAUGCCUAAUAAUUAUAACACCAUCAACAAUAUGAACUCAGAUGAUCAUGUUACCUUUUUUUGUCUUCCAUGUAUCACAAAAGCUCAAUUAACUGAUAAUCUAUCUUUUUCUUGUUCAAGUUAUCUGUGUCCUCUUGGAGUUACACCAUGCCGUGCCAUGCUUGCUAACUUGUAAUCUUCCAAUUGAUUCAUUUUUGAUAGUACAAAUUUUCUCUUACGUAUGGAUUUCUUGAAUCCUGAGGGUUAUAUUACCAUAGUCGAAAAUUAUCUGAAUUAACAAUCUCUGGACAUUGGCGUCCUCAUACAUGUGUUUCACAAUGUUAAGAGAUGGUUGGUUCUUUGGUUAAGUCAGCGAUUCUUCCUACUGUUACAGUGAACAGGUGUCAAAUUCACCUUCAAGUUUCUGGAAAUGCUAAAAGGAGUGUCCAAAUGAUGUGUUAUCAGAGAAGAGAUCUUCUUCCAUUGCAAGUCUUUGAAGGCUUGAGAAGAAUAGAUAUCCUAGGCACCUCACCAAGAUACAAAUGUGAUUUUUGUUUGGUGGUUUCAAGAUAUAUAUCUCAUUCGCAGGGGGAAAGACCAUGUUCGAUCGUUUUACAGAGAAGGCAAUGAAAGCAAUAAUGCUUACUCACGAAGCGGCAAAACUCCUAGGCCACAACUUUGUUGGGACAGAACAAAUAUUGUUGGGCCUUCUUGGUGAAGGGACACGUACUGCUGCAAAAGUUUUAGAAUCAGUGGGAAUUAAUCUUAAAGAUGCCAGGGUGGAAG
Molecule: long non-coding RNA, 1929 nt
Organism: Zingiber officinale
Lineage: Eukaryota; Viridiplantae; Streptophyta; Magnoliopsida; Zingiberales; Zingiberaceae
Exons: 3
Source: RefSeq, a predicted model, not a curated record